This is an RNA transcript of Juglans microcarpa x Juglans regia, 1006 nucleotides long. It is a transcript of the gene named mitochondrial inner membrane protease subunit 1, with no coding region annotated. NCBI's taxonomy places the organism in Eukaryota, Viridiplantae, Streptophyta, Magnoliopsida, Fagales, Juglandaceae. The record is from RefSeq and is a predicted model, not a curated record. The transcript has 6 exons.
AAUAGCUGCCGCAAGUUUCGGACACAACCUAAUUACAAAGCUUUUUUCACAGAGAGAGAGAGAGAGAGAGAGAGAGAGAGAGAUGGUGUUGAGGAAGCUGUGGCACCAUAGGAGCAUAGUAAGAGAAGCAUGGCAUCGAACCAUAGCGGUGGCCAACUUCCUCUGCGGCCUUCACGUCACCAACACUUACCUCUGUACUGCCGCCCUUGCCUACGGUCCCAGCAUGCUCCCGACCUUCAAUCUUACCGGGGAUCUGUUCCUUGCCGAGCGGCUCUCCACCCGUUUCGGCAAGGUGCGACCUGGAGACGUCGUCCUCGUACGGUCCCCUGAAGAUCCUCGAAAGUUGAUAGUUAAGCGCUUGCUGGGAAUGGAGGGUGAUUCAGUCACGUACGUUGUCGACCCCAAGAACAGUUCUAGGUGCGACAUUGUCGUGGUUCCAAAGGGACACGUUUGGAUUGAGGGAGACAACAUCUACGCCUCAAGAGAUUCAAGACAAGUUGGGCCUGUUCCUUAUAGCCUACUCGAAGGCAAAGCAUUUUGCAAGAUAUGGCCACCUAAAGAAUUUGGUUUCUUGGGACAGAGUGGAAUGAAGAAUCCAGAUCUCUAAGGAUCCAAGAAAAAUGGCCAAUGCCAUUACCUUCCCAGUGGUCCUAACGUGAAGCCCUGCAAAGUUUAAAGUUAUCAAUUUCUAAAGCUAUUCGGACUUAAAUGGAAAUAAAAGUUUUAAUGGUUUAGUAGCAAAUGGAGAUCGUGAAGAACUUGCAUGGUUUCUCACCGUUUGCUUGUUCCUAUCUCACUUUAUUUUCUUUUAUCUUUCCUAACCUGAGAAAAUAAUUUGUCAAAUGCAUGUUGCAGGCUUUUGGUAGCUGCUUUCAGUGAUCUGAUACACUAUUGAGUUAGUUCUGUUUGGUGCCUAGCACAUUUUUUCUUGUUAAUCACAUGAGCCAUGUACCAUCUCCCCUACAUCUGCGGUGCAUUAGAGUUAACCUGUUUGGAGAGCCGAAUU